This 433-nucleotide ribosomal RNA is filed under the name uncultured bacterium. RNAcentral's name for it is "partial 16S ribosomal RNA". It matches the Rfam family "Bacterial small subunit ribosomal RNA", at positions 29 to 507 of the family's 1533-position model. The record is from RNAcentral.
AACGAACGCUGGCGGCAUGCCUAACACAUGCAAGUCGAACGAGACCUUCGGGCCUAGUGGCGCACGGCUGCGUAACGCGGGGGAACCUGCCCUUGGGUUCGGAAUAACUCCCCGAAAGGGGUGCUAAUACCGGAUAAUGUCUUCGGACCAAAGAUUUAUCGCCUUUGGAUGGGCCCGCGUUGGAUUAGCUAGUUGGUGGGGUAAAAGCCUACCAAGGCGACGAUCCAUAGCUGGUCUGGGAGGAUGAUCCGCCACACUGGGACUGAGACACGGCCCAGACUCCUAGGCAAGGCAGCAGAGGGGAAUAUUGUACACUGGGCGAAGACCUGAUCCAGCAGCGCCGCGUAAGUGAUGCAGGGCUUAGGAUUGUGAUGCUCUUUUAACCGGGAUGAUAAUGACGGUACCGGGAGAAUAAGCACCGGCUAACUCCGUG